Long non-coding RNA from Ctenopharyngodon idella (grass carp), 3647 nucleotides. RefSeq lists it as uncharacterized. The record is from RefSeq and is a predicted model, not a curated record. The transcript has 3 exons. Lineage: Eukaryota; Metazoa; Chordata; Actinopteri; Cypriniformes; Xenocyprididae.
UCAUUAAUAAAAACUUUUAUAUAAAUUUUAUACUUGGGUGUGUGUUUUUUUUUUUAAAGAAAUGAAUACUUUGAUUCCCAGAGGACACAUUAAAUUAUGGAAGCUUGUUUCCGCCAGGGAAUAAAACAAUGUAAAAGAUAACUGCGACUUUUUAUCUCACAAUUCUGACUUUUUUUUCUUUCAAUUGCGAGUUUACAUCUCGCAAUUCUGAUUUUUUCUCACGAUUCUUAGAAUUGUGAGAACUCGCAAUUGCGAUUUAUAAAGUCCAAUUCGGAGGGGGAAAAAAAAUUUAUAUCUCAGAAUUCUGACUUUAUAACUCGCAAUUGCGAGUUUAUAUAUAACAUGCAAUUGCGACUUUAUAUCUUGCAAUUCUGACUAUAUAAACUCGCAACUCGCAAGUCCAAAUUGUGAGUUAAAAAGUCAGAAUUACCUUUAUUAUUUUUUAUUCAUUGGUGGAAACAAGCUUCCAUAUUAAAUUGAUCAAAAGUUACAGUAAAACAUUUAUAAAGGUACAAAAUAUUUCUAUUUCAAAUAAAUGCUGUUCUUUUGAACUUUAUAUUCAUUAAAGAAUCUUGACAAAAAAUGCAUGACAUUUUCCUGACUGGAGUAAUGAUUCUAAAAAUUAAGCUUUGCCAUCACAGGAAUAAAUUACAUUUUAUAUAUAUUAAAAUAGUAAAUAUUUUAAAUUGUAAUGAUAGUUCACAAUAUUACUGUUUUUUUACUGUGUUUUUGAUCAAAUAAAUGCAGCCUUGGUGAGCGUAAUAGCCUUUUUUAAAAAACAUUAAAAAAUCUUAUCAACCACAAACUUUUGAACUGCAGCAUAUAUUAAAAUGUUCUGUAGGCAGAAUAACGGCAGAAUAAGCUGUUUUUGCACUAUUACUAUUCAAAGCAUGCUUUUAGUACAUCAAACUCUUAUUUUAAAAGAUCAAGGAAAAUUUGAUUUCUUAUGACCCCUUUAAGAGUUUCUACUUGUUUGAAAUCAGUUUUUUUCCCCACAGUAUGGCUCUGAAUUAUAAAGACAGCAUUCGUGAGAUAAAUUUAGUACGGUUUUGUGUUAUAUAGUUCAGUGCAGUUUAAUAUUGCUUUAAAGAGUCAACAGAAGCUCUUGUUUCCCUGUGAAGAUGCAAAGAAGUCCAACUGCUUUCAUUUUAAAGGCCAUCUGAUUUCUGCCCAGCGUUUUUGUUCUAUUUACCACAGCAGAUCAGACACCCCAUAACUUCCCUCUGUGCAUUCCUCUGAGGGAAAGGGGAGGGUGGUUAAUGCUUUAAGCAGACUAUGGUGCAUUCCUUUAGGCAGGAGCAAUAUUAGCAGACUGGUCCUAUUGGUUUGAACCAAUGCCAGCGUCCUGAGUACCUUCACUCUGCCUCUGUUUCUGACUGCACUUAUUGCUAACAGCUGGCCUCCUUUCAUCCUCAAUAUACCUCACAAUGUUUUUCAUGUGAUCCUCACGAUCUGCAUGCAACAUUUUUAACAAGAACAGAUUCUGAAAGAACCCAGAAGUCUGCUUUUUGGGACAUUACCUACUAUUACCUCCUUAUGUGGAAACAGAUUCUGCCUCUUAAUGUUGAGGUCUCAUCACGGAUACGCGGUCAUAUCCUCUCCUAAGCCACACCCACAGGGCAUCCAGUUUCCCCUGAAAGAUUCAAACACAACAGUGGUUCAAGAAGAUCAACACUUCAGAGCUUGCAGGUGUGAAAUUCAAGCUGCAAAAUACACUUCAUCAACAAUGCAAAAAUGAUUGUCAGGGUAAUCUAUAAUUGACUACUCAGAGCCAUUCAAAGAAACAGAGGACCAAGGUACUUCAUUUACAUUCAUUUUAUGCAGGUUGUUAAUUGACAAGUUUCUAAUUUUCUAAUUUCCUGUAUGAAUCAAAGAAAUAUAAUAAGUUAGGUAGAACAGCAAUUAGAAAGAAACACAUUUUCCUAAAAUUGGAACAUCUAAUUGACUGACUCACCUUCUUUACUUUGUAUUUUCAAUUCAAUGACAUUCAAAGUUUCUUAUUUGGCAGUAAAUAUCACUGCUUAUAAUGAAGCAGAAAGACAGAUUUUUCACAUAGUUUUCACAUAGAUAUUGAGGACUAGGAGUGCCAGAUAAAUGAAUUACUUUUUAGUAAACAAAUGUCUCCAAUUUGACAAAACAUUCAAGUAUAGCUCAAUAAAGGAUUGGCUGUUGGAACCACCAAUAACUCCCUGAGGUAAAUAAUUGUCUUAAAAAAAACAAACAGUUAUUAGUAACAUUUGCCACACACUGCCCUGGAUAAGCUCUCACUUCAUUUCUUGAAAAGUUGUGGGCUUCAAUGGAGACUAAACUGAGAGUGAAUUUCUUGUAGAAUGUAGGUCAAACACACAGAAGUUUCUCUUAAUAAUUUUUAACCUGUAUGUGUGUUUAACUUCUGCCUCUCAGAGUGGACUGUCACCCAACAUAAUCCUGAGGAAAGAAGGUGGAAGAGAAAGAGAAAAGGAGUUUGUUUUGUUGGGAAACGGACCAGCUCUGCAAAGCUCAUCUCCCUUGGGUCAGCUCAGUUCAGCGUCUGGUUUAAAUUAACCCUCCCCUUCCAUCUGACAGAGACAUUAUGAAACAAUGCAUGAACCGCUUCCCGGACUGGCCGAGGCCACCACAACAGCACGCCGCUUCUUCUGAGCUCCUUCCAGUCUUCCAUAUGCUGGCCACGUCAUUUGUUGUCCACCAGAUGACUAUAACGUAAGCAUGACACUGUACUGGGUCAUCCAUAGCUGUUGUGUAAUGUGCUUUUGUGAGAGCAUAUUGGGAUUUCAACAUUUUCUGGCUUUGUAAAAGGUAUUCAAUACCUUUUACAAUGCCAUCCCUGGCCAGUUUAGACCAAUAUGAACUUUCAUUCUGGUCCAAGCUGGUUAGAGCCGGCUUGGUUCUGGUCACUGAUUGGCCAGCAAUGCAAUGCUGUUCACCAGCAAAACUUGGUGAAUCAAGAAUUAAAAUUUUAUAUAAAAAGAAAAAAAGUAAUACAUACUGUCAUUUUUUUUGUGAAUUAAUUUAAGUCUGUUGGUUAAGUAAAAAGUAAAAAAAAUGUCUGGUGGAGACACCAUCUAAUGUGUAACAAUAAAUUGAUAUGAAUCCAUCAAAUGACUAACAAUAUAAUGUAUCGAUGAACACGUAAAAGAAACCCUGUAUAUUUUACAUAUCUAUAACAUAUUAGAAGACUUCGUUUGACUGUUUCUCACUGAACUGUCAUCAAAUAUUUAAUCAUUUUUAAUAAUUUUCAGACUGUUCUCAUUAGUUAUCUCACUACACUAAGCCAAUGAUAUCCGAUAUUUUUUUUUUUUUUUAUUAUUUUAUUACAAGUGUUUUGGUCAUAGGCCCCUGAAUCUAAUCAAAUCAUAAUUGAAUCGUGGCAUGUCUUGAGGUAUUUGCAAAUAUCACUGGCUAAGAGAUUCGAUGUCAGAUCGAAAUGCGAUGAAACAUCUGAUUUACGCCUAGACCAGCAUCUGCUGAUGCAUAACAAAAUGGAUUUUGGCCCCAAAAAGGAUUUAAACAUAUCUACCUUGAUUGGCGAGUACCACUUCUGAGGGUAGAUGGGUUUUCGCAUGCCGUUGUUUAGGGUUCGUGUGGUUGGAAACUCAAACUCUUGCUCAGGCAUCUUCACCCGUGCAUUCUUGGCUUUCUCCAGUUUG